Molecule: transfer RNA, 72 nt
Filed under: Hemiaulus chinensis
Lineage: Eukaryota; Bacillariophyta; Thalassiosirophyceae; Hemiaulales; Hemiaulaceae
Description: Hemiaulus sinensis tRNA-Met
Rfam family: tRNA
About the family: Transfer RNA (tRNA) molecules are approximately 80 nucleotides in length. Their secondary structure includes four short double-helical elements and three loops (D, anti-codon, and T loops).
Source: RNAcentral
GUUAGAGUAGAGCAAUGGUAGCUCGUUGGGCUCAUGACCCAGAGGUUGUAAGUUCGAAUCUUGCCUCUAACA